UCUGGUUGAUCCUGCCAGUAGGUUAUGCUUGACUUGGAGAUUAAGCCAUGCAUGUCUAAGUAUAGUUAUAUACAGCGAAACUGCGAAUGGCUCAUUAAAUCAGUUAUAAUCUACUUGAUGUUUUUCUUACAUGGAUAACCGUGGGAGACUAUGGCUAAUACAUGCGUAAACCUUCGGGUGUAUUUAUUAGUUUCAAAUCCGCAAUAUUUGAGGAAUCAUAAUAACUGAUCGAAGCGAAUUCAUUCGCUAAAUCAUUCGAGUUUCUGCCCUAUCAGCCAGUUGGUAGUGUAUUGGACUACCAAAGCAGUAACGGGUAGCGGAGAAUUGGGGUUCGAUUCCGGAGAGGGAGCUUGAGAAAUGGCUACCAUUUCUAUGGAAGGCAGCAGGCGCGCAAAUUACCCAAUCCUGACUCAGGGAGGUAGUUAAUAGAAAUAACAGGCUCGCACCAUCGGUGCUGAGUAUGUAAUGAGUGCUAUGUAAAAAAAGCUCGAAUCUAUUGGAGGGCAAGUCUGGU
This 514-nucleotide ribosomal RNA is filed under the name uncultured eukaryote. RNAcentral's name for it is "SSU rRNA". It matches the Rfam family "Eukaryotic small subunit ribosomal RNA", at positions 1 to 565 of the family's 1831-position model. The record is from RNAcentral.